CUGAUACGUUCCGUUUUCAAAUGUCGUCCUUCCGUGUUUUAUAAGUUUAUUAAACCAUAUUACUGAAUACUAUUCGAAGAGGUGCAAAAUAUGAGGUCAGCAUGAGAGCUGUGAAAGCAGUUUAAAGCCACUUUUCUGAUCCUUUGUCACGAGAAAGACAUUUGCAAAGCGGCUGGUCCCUCUUUGGUCAGCAUCAUGAGGGCACAGUUCAGUGCGCUGCCGUACUGGCCGGCCGACGAGUUCAUGAACCGCGUUUUCACCACGUC
RNAcentral lists this long non-coding RNA (266 nucleotides) under Danio rerio (zebrafish). RNAcentral describes it as "si:ch211-176g13.6 (ENSDARG00000097029.2)". Lineage: Eukaryota; Metazoa; Chordata; Actinopteri; Cypriniformes; Danionidae. The record is from RNAcentral.